UCCAAUGGCCUACUUAGCAGCAACUUUGCUUGUUUUAACAGUCUCUCUGACCUUUGUAUCUCAAUCAACCGCUAACUACUUCUAUUCUUCUCCUCCACCACCUGUUAAGCACUACGAAUACAAAUCACCACCUCCUCCGGUUAAGCACUACCCUCCCCCUCCGGUUUAUCAUUCUCCACCACCACCUAAGAAACACUACGAAUAUAAAUCUCCACCUCCUCCAGUUAAACACUACUCUCCACCACCGGUUUACCACUCUCCACCACCCCCAAAGAAGCACUACGUGUACAAAUCCCCGCCACCCCCGGUUAAGCACUACUCUCCUCCUCCCGUUUACCAUUCUCCACCACCACCAAAGAAACACUACGUGUACAAGUCCCCUCCUCCUCCGGUUAAACACUAUUCUCCUCCUCCGGUUUACCACUCUCCACCACCUCCUAAGAAGGACUACGUCUACAAAUCUCCACCCCCACCGGUUAAGCACUACUCUCCCCCACCAGUCUACCACUCACCACCACCACCCAAGAAACAUUACGUAUACAAAUCUCCUCCUCCUCCGGUUAAACACUACACACCGCCUCCAGUUUACCAUUCCCCACCCCCAC
RNAcentral lists this long non-coding RNA (605 nucleotides) under Brassica rapa (field mustard). RNAcentral describes it as "long non-coding RNA (BRAP_LNC005236)". Lineage: Eukaryota; Viridiplantae; Streptophyta; Magnoliopsida; Brassicales; Brassicaceae. The record is from RNAcentral.